Molecule: ribosomal RNA, 1671 nt
Filed under: Escherichia coli
Lineage: Bacteria; Pseudomonadati; Pseudomonadota; Gammaproteobacteria; Enterobacterales; Enterobacteriaceae
Description: partial 23S ribosomal RNA
Rfam family: Bacterial large subunit ribosomal RNA
Source: RNAcentral
GUGUACGUACAAGCAGUGGGAGCACGCUUAGGCGUGUGACUGCGUACCUUUUGUAUAAUGGGUCAGCGACUUAUAUUCUGUAGCAAGGUUAACCGAAUAGGGGAGCCGAAGGGAAACCGAGUCUUAACUGGGCGUUAAGUUGCAGGGUAUAGACCCGAAACCCGGUGAUCUAGCCAUGGGCAGGUUGAAGGUUGGGUAACACUAACUGGAGGACCGAACCGACUAAUGUUGAAAAAUUAGCGGAUGACUUGUGGCUGGGGGUGAAAGGCCAAUCAAACCGGGAGAUAGCUGGUUCUCCCCGAAAGCUAUUUAGGUAGCGCCUCGUGAAUUCAUCUCCGGGGGUAGAGCACUGUUUCGGCAAGGGGGUCAUCCCGACUUACCAACCCGAUGCAAACUGCGAAUACCGGAGAAUGUUAUCACGGGAGACACACGGCGGGUGCUAACGUCCGUCGUGAAGAGGGAAACAACCCAGACCGCCAGCUAAGGUCCCAAAGUCAUGGUUAAGUGGGAAACGAUGUGGGAAGGCCCAGACAGCCAGGAUGUUGGCUUAGAAGCAGCCAUCAUUUAAAGAAAGCGUAAUAGCUCACUGGUCGAGUCGGCCUGCGCGGAAGAUGUAACGGGGCUAAACCAUGCACCGAAGCUGCGGCAGCGACACUGUGUGUUGUUGGGUAGGGGAGCGUUCUGUAAGCCUGCGAAGGUGUGCUGUGAGGCAUGCUGGAGGUAUCAGAAGUGCGAAUGCUGACAUAAGUAACGAUAAAGCGGGUGAAAAGCCCGCUCGCCGGAAGACCAAGGGUUCCUGUCCAACGUUAAUCGGGGCAGGGUGAGUCGACCCCUAAGGCGAGGCCGAAAGGCGUAGUCGAUGGGAAACAGGUUAAUAUUCCUGUACUUGGUGUUACUGCGAAGGGGGGACGGAGAAGGCUAUGUUGGCCGGGCGACGGUUGUCCCGGUUUAAGCGUGUAGGCUGGUUUUCCAGGCAAAUCCGGAAAAUCAAGGCUGAGGCGUGAUGACGAGGCACUACGGUGCUGAAGCAACAAAUGCCCUGCUUCCAGGAAAAGCCUCUAAGCAUCAGGUAACAUCAAAUCGUACCCCAAACCGACACAGGUGGUCAGGUAGAGAAUACCAAGGCGCUUGAGAGAACUCGGGUGAAGGAACUAGGCAAAAUGGUGCCGUAACUUCGGGAGAAGGCACGCUGAUAUGUAGGUGAAGUCCCUCGCGGAUGGAGCUGAAAUCAGUCGAAGAUACCAGCUGGCUGCAACUGUUUAUUAAAAACACAGCACUGUGCAAACACGAAAGUGGACGUAUACGGUGUGACGCCUGCCCGGUGCCGGAAGGUUAAUUGAUGGGGUCAGCGCAAGCGAAGCUCUUGAUCGAAGCCCCGGUAAACGGCGGCCGUAACUAUAACGGUCCUAAGGUAGCGAAAUUCCUUGUCGGGUAAGUUCCGACCUGCACGAAUGGCGUAAUGAUGGCCAGGCUGUCUCCACCCGAGACUCAGUGAAAUUGAACUCGCUGUGAAGAUGCAGUGUACCCGCGGCAAGACGGAAAGACCCCGUGAACCUUUACUAUAGCUUGACACUGAACAUUGAGCCUUGAUGUGUAGGAUAGGUGGGAGGCUUUGAAGUGUGGACGCCAGUCUGCAUGGAGCCGACCUUGAAAUACCACCCUUUAAUGUUU